GGCUAAUCGAAUGUUUAUCGGCUUUUUAGAUAUGUUGUGCUACAGUCUCGUUUGAAUGGAAAUUACUCACUUAUCGUGCAGAGGUCGUUGUGUGUAGAACGAAGUGGCAAGCUUGCAGAAUCGUUAGGAAACUGGACAAAAUACUUAGUGACAUUUUGUCACCUACAUGUUCUGAGUUCAUUUUCUGUUAAGGUUGAUGAUAUGUAUUGAACAUUAGAACUGACAGGACUUUCACCGUUGAGAAAUGCUGUGCAUUUUAAUAUACAAUUUUACAAGCUUUAUUGAACAUCAUCAUUUCGUAGUUUUUUUCCCUUUAACGCUGGGACAUAAUGCUUUGGAAAUUUGCAUUGGAGAUAUUCAGUUAAAUUUGCUAGUUCAUGUUGACAUGGGUGUAAGCAUAGCAAUAUGGUUACAAUGUUUGCUUCACAAUCACAUGGUUCUGUGUUUGAUCCCAUAGCCAUGGCAAUUUUGGUAAAUGUCUUUCACCAUUCCACUUACGAAUUCCCUUUACAAGGUAUAAUACACACCCCUUCUCUAACUUGAGUCAAGGAUAAUGCAAACGUGUAGCUUUUUUGUGCACUCUGUUUGCAGAAAAUAAAGAAAUAACAGUAAUAACGUCAGUGAAAAAUAAAUAUAGCUUAAGGCAUUAGCUUAAGGUAUUUUUGCGCACAACAUCACAAAAUGCGUCUGAAUAAACAUUGCCGGACACUAAAGAGAGACUUGGACAUUGCUUAGAAAAUAUUUUUCAUUUUUAACCUUGCAUAUAGUACGCACUAGGGAUUUUGACCUUUAAAUUUUGGGAAAAAAAUGCGGAUUAUACUUGAGUAUUUACGGUAUAUGUAUGUUUCUAUCUUUAACAGUGCAUGUCAGUAAAAAAUUGUGCGCUUCAAACAAAGUUUUUUGCAAGAAGCAGGUUUUUUUUGGCAGGAGUGAACUCUAUUGCAUGGAGUUUCAGUAAAUAAAUUCCUUCAUCAUU
Molecule: long non-coding RNA, 976 nt
Organism: Octopus bimaculoides (California two-spot octopus)
Lineage: Eukaryota; Metazoa; Mollusca; Cephalopoda; Octopoda; Octopodidae
Source: RefSeq, a predicted model, not a curated record